UACGUAGGCAGCAAGCGUUGUUCGGAAUUACUGGGCGUAAAGAGUGUGUAGGCGGUUCUCUAAGUUCGGUGUGAAAUCUCCCGGCUCAACUGGGAGGGUGCGCCGGAAACUGGAGGGCUUGAGUAUGGGAGAGGAAGGCGGAAUUCCUGGUGUAGCGGUGAAAUGCGUAGAUAUCAGGAGGAACACCUGCGGUGUAGACAGCUUUCUGGACCAUCACUGACGCUGAGACACGAAAGCGUGGGUAGCAAACAGG
Molecule: ribosomal RNA, 253 nt
Filed under: uncultured bacterium
Lineage: Bacteria
Description: partial 16S ribosomal RNA
Rfam family: Bacterial small subunit ribosomal RNA
Source: RNAcentral